AGAAGCCAGGAAGAUGGGAGAGGAGCGACGAAAACAGGACAAUUCAAGACUAGUUAAGGCCCAGAUCCUCAGCGCAAUGGACCUUAAGGGCAAGCAGUGGAGAUACAAAGACAACGGAUCAAGUCCUGGCCUCAUUGAACGACAGUUGCAAAACAUCAGGAUUUCGCCCAAUGACAACAGGAAAACAAAACACAGCCGAGUGUAAAAGAACAGAGUUGCCACUUCCCGAUUUCACCAUGAUACUGUCAUUUGUGCAGUGACCUGUCUAUGGACCCCGCAUCACUCCUGCGGUAGCGGCAAGAGCAGCAGCGAUUAGGAUGGAGCUGAAUAACCUCUGUCAUUGUCCUGGCCUGCCAUGAGGUUUCUCAGCUCAAUGCCACACUUGAAUGACACUCUGUCAUUAUGCUAUAUUUAGGUAAUGAAAGGUGUAAUUAGCUUUGUUCUGCUGCAAGCUGAUCUGGCUCUGUGAGCAUUACAAAAGGUAAUAAAAUAGGUGC
Mauremys reevesii (Reeves's turtle) is the source of this 497-nucleotide long non-coding RNA. RefSeq lists it as uncharacterized. Lineage: Eukaryota; Metazoa; Chordata; Testudines; Geoemydidae. The record is from RefSeq and is a predicted model, not a curated record. The transcript is spliced from 3 exons.